GCGCCGUUGGUCUAGUGGUAACAUACAACCUGGAUUUUAUAAUGCAUAAUUCUAGUCUUAAGGUUGAGUCCUGGGUUCGAAUCCCGGACGGCGCG
Molecule: non-coding RNA, 95 nt
Organism: Mycena epipterygia
Lineage: Eukaryota; Fungi; Basidiomycota; Agaricomycetes; Agaricales; Mycenaceae
Source: the annotation of a GenBank genome assembly